GUUCGUUUAUAAAAUAUUUAUAAAUCACUUACAGGGAUGCCAAGUCCGAUGUUAGAACUGAGGCUGCAGACUCCUUUCAGAUCCUUGUGAACAGGUGUUGUGGCAAACAUCUGUGAUCCCGUGCUGGUGAGUAACAAGUGGACUUCGAUGGACUACCCGACCGAAGCAGACCAUCCACCGUUCCACCCAGUUCCAAGCAUUUGCCUUUGAAUCACCUCUACACAACCCAGCUUCCAGCUGCUCUUCAAGAUCGAGUUGAGCUGCCUUCGUCCGAACACAGACACGACACAACCAAGACGCUCUCUCUAGUCUCCUGCCCUCCCAGAACUACAGUACGGAGACUGGCCUGACCCUCCGACCACGAAAACCGUUAAACCCUGGACCGAGCGACAAUCUCCUUCCAAACCCCGCGUAGGAAAG
Molecule: long non-coding RNA, 420 nt
Organism: Peromyscus eremicus (cactus mouse)
Lineage: Eukaryota; Metazoa; Chordata; Mammalia; Rodentia; Cricetidae
Exons: 3
Source: RefSeq, a predicted model, not a curated record